This 924-nucleotide long non-coding RNA is filed under the name Cyanistes caeruleus (blue tit). RNAcentral describes it as "lncRNA (ENSCCEG00000020163.1)". Lineage: Eukaryota; Metazoa; Chordata; Aves; Passeriformes; Paridae. The record is from RNAcentral.
AUUAAGGCUUGAUGAGCUAAAAUUCAGCAGUAUAAAGCAUUCAGACCUUUCCUACUAACUUAGCAUCACUACCUUUAUGCUUCCACUUCCACUUCCUCUACUUCAGCUUCUCAACCAGUCUGUAAUGAGAAAAAUACUAUGGAGUUACUGUAAUUACAGAAAUAAGAUCUGUCCUUUGAACCAUAUACAGGAGAGAACCACCAGAUUAGUUUGUAUGGGUGUGCCCCACCUCUAUGAUUGACAAUCUACUGGUGUUCCUGGUCUUUGCUAAUCUAAAAGGAUGUAAUUAUUAACCAGCAAAAACGCCACUCCUUCACAUGCAUCCCACGUGUAGUCCUCUGCAGAACUGCCACCAGUCACUGCUACUGUUGUUAGGACCAGACACAGAACAGCAUCAUUUAGCAAGCUGAGGAUCCUCAACACUGAUCUAGUGUGUGUAAUAGAAAACAGAAGUUCACAUGGAGGAGAAGGCUAUAUAUUGAGUAAAUUUCUAUGUUCUUGGUGUGCCUACUCUUAUACCAGUGGUGAAGAGCUGCACCCACAGCUUCAUCAGCAACUAUGGUUCCUCUCCUCUAACCUCUGUAUCUCAAGAUAUCUGAAUGUGGAACUGUUCAGUAGUGCUUCCUCCUUGGUUUCAUGAUGACAUCUAUUCUUUCCAAAGAUGUGAUAAUCCAUUGUCAAGAACAUAAAAGGCUCUCCUAUAAUAUUUUGUGUGCAAGGUGCCCCACACGAGAUUGUCUCAAGGCUUCAAAUACUAAUUGCACCACAAAAUAUUCCUUCUGGACUGUCAAAUGUGGAGGAAGUUGAAGGAAUAUGGAUGAAUUUCCUGUGGGAUCAGAAAGGUAGCGUACCACAUCCUUCAUUAUGGAACCCCUUUAGUUCUCUUCUUCUGUGUGAGAAUAAUAUAAACACCCUGUUCAGAUC